RNAcentral lists this ribosomal RNA (292 nucleotides) under uncultured bacterium. RNAcentral describes it as "partial 16S ribosomal RNA". It matches the Rfam family "Bacterial small subunit ribosomal RNA", at positions 505 to 796 of the family's 1533-position model. The record is from RNAcentral.
GUGUCAGCAGCCGCGGUAAUACGGAGGGGGCAAGCGUUGUCCGGACUUACUGGGCGUAAAGGGUCCGUAGGCGGCCAGCUGCGUCGCUGCUGAAAGCGCCCCGCUUAACGGGGCGAGGCGUGGCGAUACGAGCUGGCUUGAGGAAGGCAGAGGGUGGCGGAAUUCCGGGUGUAGUGGUGAAAUGCGUAGAGAUCCGGAGGAACGCCUGUGGCGCAAGCGGCCACCUGGGCCUUAUCUGACGCUGAGGGACGAAAGCGUGGGGAGCAAACCGGAUUAGAUACCCGGGUAGUCC